UACGGAGGAUGCGAGCGUUAUCCGGAUUUAUUGGGUUUAAAGGGUGCGUAGGCGGCGAGUUAAGUCAGCGGUAAAAGCCCGGGGCUCAACCCCAUCCAGCCGUUGAAACUGGGGAUCUAGAGUGUGCGAGAGGUAUGCGGAAUGCGUGGUGUAGCGGUGAAAUGCAUAGAUAUCACGCAGAACCCCGAUUGCGAAGGCAGCAUACCGGCGGCGAUCUGACGCUGAGGCACGAAAGCGUGGGUAUCGAACAGG
RNAcentral lists this ribosomal RNA (252 nucleotides) under uncultured Bacteroidales bacterium. RNAcentral's name for it is "partial 16S ribosomal RNA". It matches the Rfam family "Bacterial small subunit ribosomal RNA", at positions 524 to 776 of the family's 1533-position model. The record is from RNAcentral. Lineage: Bacteria; Pseudomonadati; Bacteroidota; Bacteroidia; Bacteroidales.